UGCAGUCGAGCGAGGCCAUCUUCGGGUGGUGCCCUAGCGGCGAACGGGUGAGUAACACGUGGGCAACCUGCCCUCAGCUCUGGGAUAACUCCAAGAAAUUGGUGCUAAUACCGGAUGUGACCGCUGACCGCAUGGUCUGGUGGUGGAAAGAUUCAUCGGCUGAGGAUGGGCCCGCGGCCUAUCAGCUUGUUGGUGGGGUAAUGGCCCACCAAGGCGACGACGGGUAGCCGGCCUGAGAGGGUGACCGGCCACACUGGGACUGAGACACGGCCCAGACUCCUACGGGAGGCAGCAGUGGGGAAUAUUGCGCAAUGGGCGAAAGCCUGACGCAGCGACGCCGCGUGAGGGAUGACGGCCUUCGGGUUGUAAACCUCUUUCAGUAGGGACGAAGCGCAAGUGACGGUACCUACAGAAGAAGCACCGGCCAACUACGUGCCAGCAGCCGCGGUAAUACGUAGGGUGCAAGCGUUGUCCGGAAUUAUUGGGCGUAAAGAGCUCGUAGGCGGUCUGUCGCGUCGGCUGUGAAAACCCGAGGCUCAACCUCGGGCCUGCAG
Molecule: ribosomal RNA, 554 nt
Filed under: uncultured bacterium
Lineage: Bacteria
Description: bacterial SSU rRNA
Rfam family: Bacterial small subunit ribosomal RNA
Source: RNAcentral